GGGCUAAUGGUCUAGGGGUAUGAUUUUCGUUUUGCAUACGAAAGGUCCGGGGUUCAAAUCCCCGUUGGUCCA
Molecule: transfer RNA, 72 nt
Filed under: Beauveria bassiana
Lineage: Eukaryota; Fungi; Ascomycota; Sordariomycetes; Hypocreales; Cordycipitaceae
Also listed under: 2 other names
Description: tRNA-Thr
Rfam family: tRNA
About the family: Transfer RNA (tRNA) molecules are approximately 80 nucleotides in length. Their secondary structure includes four short double-helical elements and three loops (D, anti-codon, and T loops).
Source: RNAcentral